GUGCUCACCUUGGUAGCACGUACACUAAAAUUACAACGAUACAGAGAAGAUAAGCAUGGCCCCUGAGCAAGGAUGACACACAAAUCUGUGAAGCAUUCCAUAUUUUC
This is a small nuclear RNA of Trichechus manatus latirostris (Florida manatee), 107 nucleotides long. Lineage: Eukaryota; Metazoa; Chordata; Mammalia; Sirenia; Trichechidae. The record is from RefSeq and is a predicted model, not a curated record.